Long non-coding RNA from Erigeron canadensis, 638 nucleotides. RefSeq lists it as uncharacterized. The transcript is spliced from 3 exons. The record is from RefSeq and is a predicted model, not a curated record. Lineage: Eukaryota; Viridiplantae; Streptophyta; Magnoliopsida; Asterales; Asteraceae.
UCCUUGUUUGUGUGGCAGGAAAAGAACUACCAAAAACCUUUCCCUCUUUCUUUCUUUGCUACUGUCGACACAAACACACACACAUAGAACACAUACUAGUUUCUUCUCAAAUCAAAUUCUUGGAAAGGAGAAAUCAAAGGGAAAUUAAUAAGGGUUUAAUUAUUUGGUGGAUUUCAAGGAAUCACCAUCAUCUUCUUCAUCUUUUCUUCAAGAAUAUCAAAUUUUGGGUCUAUAGCUAAGUAGUUAAACGUAGGAUACUUGUCGUCGUGAGAUUUGAUCCUCGCCAUUGGUACUCAUAUCCUAGGUUUUGGAUAGUCGUGGAGACUAGACUGCUCAUUUUCUCGGACUACUCAUACAUUUAGCUCUUUGACCACUAAGGUAACCAACAGUAAGUCUUGGAUCAUCUAGGCAUUAUAGGGCCAUUCAUUUGACUUUGGACGUAUAAUUAGCAUUAGACAUUGGAGGACUAUUAUGUUCUUAGUUCUAAUUGUACUAGACGGUCCAAAUAUUUAUCUUGUAUUAAGUGGGCCCAAUUCCAUAUAUGGAUGACUUGUAUAUCCGUAUUCUGGGGUCCACAUUUGAACGAUUGUACUUGUAUUAGACUUGUAUUUGGUAUUAAAUGGAUGUAAUUUCUAUUA